ACUUCACGGGCAGCUUAAGGCCUGGAAUGUGGCUUAGACAAAUCUGGUCACCCUGUGAUCUCCCUUGCGCAGUAGCUGGAGGAGAAGCCUGAGGGGGUCUGACCUGGAAUGACCCUCUCCUGGGUCCUGGUCUAGGAUGUGCCCGUGGGACACAAGCUUCCCUUUGCCCCAGUUUCAGCUAGCAGAGGCCAGAGGGCUAGGGGUGGGAAGAAACGGUGAUGAGAUGUGACUGAGUAAAGCAGGUGAGAGUUGGAGACAGAUCUUAGGAAGAACUUCUGGCAUUGAUGGUUCUUUGAUAGGAGACUGGCCUUGUAUUUGUGAGGGAGAAAAGGGAAGCUUUGGAGGGCACGGACCUCAUCCCCACGGGGGCUGCAGAGCAGCUACUCUGAGGAAUAUCUGAGGAACCUCCUUUGCAGGAAGAAGCUGGGAAGCAGCUCCCACACCUCCAAGCAUGGCUUCCUGUCCUGGGCCUGGGUCUGCUUGAGACACUGCAUCUACACUCCACAGCCAGGUACGGGGUUGGGAGCUGAGGCUGAGCGUGACAGGGGACGUUACCCUCCCUUGCACAGAAUGGCUGCAGUGGAGGACUGGCUCCUGCUCCCCAGAAUCCUUGUCAUCAAGAGGGACAACUACCAGCUUGGGACAGCGGGAAGACCCUGGCCUGGCCUUGGUCAUUCAGGGUCCUGCUGGCCUUUUCCUGGGCCCCUUGGGAGGGAGGAGGGCUCCCGGGCCUGAGUGGUGCUGUUCACCACACUCCUUCCUUUGAGGACUACAGGAUUCCGUCUCCCGCUG
This 792-nucleotide small RNA is filed under the name Pongo abelii (Sumatran orangutan). RNAcentral describes it as "retained intron". Lineage: Eukaryota; Metazoa; Chordata; Mammalia; Primates; Hominidae. The record is from RNAcentral.